Non-coding RNA from Camellia sinensis, 400 nucleotides. Lineage: Eukaryota; Viridiplantae; Streptophyta; Magnoliopsida; Ericales; Theaceae. The record is from RefSeq and is a predicted model, not a curated record.
UUCUUUUACAGGGGGAGAAUGUGAGAACCCGAAUAUACAAAUCAAGUACAAAAUUAAAUAAUAAUAAUUUCACAAUCUCAAAUAUUUUGAUGGUGAAUCCUAAAGUGCAAAUUAAUUAUUAUUGAAUGAUCAUUUAAUUAAGUUUAAACCUAAAAAAAAAAAUUAGAGAAGAGAGUGUGACUUGAACUCUAAACCACAAGGUUAAUAUGUAAGACUCUUACCAUUUGUGUUGCAUAUAACUUAUAUAUCUGUUUCGUAUAUUUAUUUAUAUAUUUGACCUACACAUGCUUUAGGUCUAUCCAACCACUAGUAUAAAAUAAAAUAAAUACAAACCCUGCUCUAUUGUUUGUUCACCACAUAGGGCAACAACACAGCAGCCACGAGAGAGACUUUGAGAGAA